This 420-nucleotide ribosomal RNA is filed under the name uncultured bacterium. RNAcentral describes it as "bacterial SSU rRNA". It matches the Rfam family "Bacterial small subunit ribosomal RNA", at positions 356 to 773 of the family's 1533-position model. The record is from RNAcentral.
AAGGAAUAUUGGACAAUGGCGGAGACGCUGAUCCAGCUAUCCCGCGUGCAGGAUGACGGCCCUACGGGUUGUAAACUGCUUUAGACUGGGGCGAAAAAGUGGGAUUUAUCCUACAUUGACGGUACCAGUAAAAUAAGCACCGGCUAACUCCGUGCCAGCAGCCGCGGUAAUACGGAGGGUGCAAGCGUUAACCGGAAUCACUGGGUAUAAAGGGUGCGUAGGCGGCUUGUUAAGUCAGGAGUGAAAGGCCAUGGCUCAACUAUGGGAUUGCUUUUGAUACUGACGAGCUUGGAUUAGGACGAGGUUGGCGGAAUGUGGCAAGUAGCGGUGAAAUGCAUAGAUAUGCCAUAGAAUACCGAUUGCGAAGGCAGCUGACUAGACCUAUAUUGACGCUGAGGCACGAAAGCGUGGGGAGCGAAC